UACGUAGGUGGCAAGCGUUGUCCGGAAUUACUGGGCGUAAAGGGAGCGCAGGCGGGAAGCCAAGUCAGCUGUGAAAACUACGGGCUUAACUUGUAGACUGCAGUUGAAACUGGUUCUCUUGAGUGAAGUAGAGGUUGGCGGAAUUCCGAGUGUAGCGGUGAAAUGCGUAGAUAUUCGGAGGAACACCGGUGGCGAAGGCGGCCAACUGGGCUUUAACUGACGCUGAGGCUCGAAAGUGUGGGGAGCAAACAGG
RNAcentral lists this ribosomal RNA (253 nucleotides) under uncultured bacterium. Its description in RNAcentral is "partial 16S ribosomal RNA". It matches the Rfam family "Bacterial small subunit ribosomal RNA", at positions 524 to 776 of the family's 1533-position model. The record is from RNAcentral.